GAGUUUGAUCAUGGCUCAGAACGAACGCUGGCGGCAUGCCUCAUACAUGCAAGUCGAACGAGGUCUUCGGACCUAGUGGCGCACGGGUGAGUAACAUGUGGGAAUCUACCUGAAGGUUCGGAAUAACUGCGGGAAACUGUAGCUAAUACCGGAUGUGUCUGCAAAGAGAAAGAUUUAUCGCCUUCAGAUGAGCCCGCAUUAGAUUAGCUAGUUGGUGAGGUAAUUGCUCCACCAAGGCUACGAUCUAUAGCUGAUUUGAGAGGAUGAUCAGCCACACUGGGACUGAGACACGGCCCAGACUCCUACGGGAGGCAGCAGUAGGGAAUAUUGGACAAUGGGGGAAACCCUGAUCCAGCAAUGCCGCGUGAGUGAAGAAGGCCUUCGGGUUGUAAAGCUCUUUCAUCAAUGAUGAUAAUGACAUUAGUUGAAGAAGAAGCCCCGGCUAACUUCGUGCCAGCAGCCGCGGUAAUACGAAGGGGGCUAGCGUUGUUCGGAAUCACUGGGCGUAAAGCGUAUGUAGGCGGAUCAAAAAGUUAGAUGUGAAAUCCCUGGGCUCAACCCAGGAACUGCAUUUAAAACUAGUGAUCUAGAAUUUGGUAGGGGUUAGUAGAAUUUCCAGUGUAGAGGUGAAAUUCGUAGAUAUUGGAAAGAAUACCAGUGGCGAAGGCGACUAACUGGGCCAUUUUUGACGCUGAGAUACGAAAGCGUGGGUAGCAAACAGGAUUAGAUACCCUGGUAGUCCACGCAGUAAACGAUGAGUGCUAGUCGCUGGGACAAUAGUUUCAGUGUCGAAGCUAACGCAUUAAGCACUCCGCCUGGGAAGUACGGUCGCAAGAUUAAAACUCAAAUAAAUUGACGGGGGCCCGCACAAGCGGUGGAGCAUGUGGUUUAAUUCGAAGCAACGCGAAGAACCUUACCAGACCUUGACAUGGUGUGUUUGAAUUACAGAAUCGUAAUUCUUCAGUUCGGCUGGCACACACACAGGUGCUGCAUGGCUGUCGUCAGCUCGUGUCGUGAGAUGUUGGGUUAAGUCCCGCAACGAGCGCAACCCUCAUUUUUAGUUGCCAUCAGGUUAUGCUGGGCACUCUAAAAAAACUGCCGGUGAUAAGCUGGAGGAAGGCGGGGAUGACGUCAAGUCCUCAUGGCCCUUACGGUCUGGGCUACACACGUGCUACAAUGGUGGUGACAGUGGGCAGCAAUACUGCAAAGUAGAGCUAAUCCCAAAAAGCCAUCUCAGUUCGGAUUGGACUCUGCAACUCGAGUCCAUGAAGUUGGAAUCGCUAGUAAUCGUAGAUCAGCGUGCUACGGUGAAUACGU
This 1317-nucleotide ribosomal RNA is filed under the name unidentified marine bacterioplankton. Its description in RNAcentral is "bacterial SSU rRNA". It matches the Rfam family "Bacterial small subunit ribosomal RNA", at positions 9 to 1371 of the family's 1533-position model. The record is from RNAcentral.